Molecule: ribosomal RNA, 774 nt
Filed under: uncultured Neocallimastigales
Lineage: Eukaryota; Fungi; Neocallimastigomycota; Neocallimastigomycetes; Neocallimastigales
Description: partial large subunit ribosomal RNA
Rfam family: Eukaryotic large subunit ribosomal RNA
Source: RNAcentral
UAUCUCUGUAGAGUCUGCAUAUCAAUAAGCGGAGGAAAAGAAACUAACAAGGAUUCCCUUAGUAACGGCGAGUGAAGCGGGAAGAGCUCAAAUUUGAAAUCUUCAAGGUUUUACCUUGACGAAUUGUAGUUUAAAGAAGUGUUUUCUGUUGAGUGUUUCGGUAAAAGUUCUUUGGAAUAGGACAUCAUAGAGGGUGAGAAUCCCGUAUUUGACCAUUAUUUCAGCUGUGUGAUACACUUUCAAAGAGUCGGAUUGUUUGGGAAUGCAGUCCAAAAUGGGUGGUAAAUUUCAUCUAAAGCUAAAUAUUGGCGAGAGACCGAUAGCGAACAAGUACCGUGAGGGAAAGAUGAAAAGAACUUUGAAAAGAGAGUUAAACAGUACGUGAAAUUGUCAAAAGGGAAGCGUUUGACACCAGUGUUGUUUUCUCGAAAAUCAAUUAAGAAUGGCUUGAUUUUGUGUUGUAUUGACCUUAUAAGCUUUCUUCACUUUUUUCAUGUUUUUUUUAAUGCACUUUUCGUUUAACAAGUCAACAUCAGUUUCUUUUGUUGUAAAAAGGUCAUUGGAAGGUGGCUUUCUUUUCGGAGAAAGUGUUUAUAGCCUUUGACUUCUGCAAUCGGAGAGACUGAGGUCUGCAGCGUAGAUCCUUCUGGAUUAGAUUCAUUUGUGCUAAGUUACAACCGUUUAUAGACAACUUGUUGACUAUAUUCGAUCCUGUAGCUUACUCGCUUAUGUAAUUUUACCUACGCUUAGGAUGUUGAAGAUGUAGCACAUCAU